This 244-nucleotide ribosomal RNA is filed under the name uncultured bacterium. RNAcentral describes it as "partial 16S ribosomal RNA". It matches the Rfam family "Bacterial small subunit ribosomal RNA", at positions 116 to 354 of the family's 1533-position model. The record is from RNAcentral.
CGUGGGUAACCUGCCUUACACAGGGGGAUAACACCUGGAAACAGAUGCUAAUACCGGAUAACAACACUAGACGCAUGUCUAGAGUUUAAAAGAUGGUUCUGCUAUCACUCUUGGAUGGACCUGCGGUGCAUUAGCUAGUUGGUAAGGUAACGGCUUACCAAGGCAAUGAUGCAUAGCCGAGUUGAGAGACUGAUCGGCCACAUUGGGACUGAGACACGGCCCAAACUCCUACGGAAGGCAGCAG